CCUGCCUCAGCCUCCUGAGCAGCUAGGACUACAGGUGCCCCCCACCUCACCCGGCUAAUUUUUUGUAUCUUUAGUAGAGACGAGGUUUCACCAUGUUAGCUAGGAUGGUCUCAAUCUUCUGACCUCGUGAUCCACCCGCCUCAGCCUCCCAAAGUGCUGGGAUUACAGGGGUGAGCCACCGCACCCUGCCUGUGUUUUCUAUCCAUUACUACAAGAUAACUGCAUGGCAUUCUCCCUUCCUGCUGAAGACUUUUGCUCAAAUGUCACCUUAUCAGUGAGAAGGUGACCAUCCACUUGUAAAUUGAACCCAUACCCGAACAGGCCUGAGGCCAUUUCAUCUUGCCACAGGAAACCUAACAAUGAAUCCAACAGGGAGGAGGAAGAGAUUGGAGUGAGUGACAGAUUGGAUCCUGAUGGCAGUAUGGGGACUAGGGAAUCCAGUCCAGAACCCUAGAAUUGGCACAAGUCACUGGCAAUGGAAAAGAAUGACAGAGGAUUCCUAAAGCUUAGGCUCUAUGGGCAUGCCUGAAACAUCCCAAGGCUCAGGGAAAAAAGGAACUGAAGACAAAUACCGUCAGCUUCACCAAUCACAUGUCAUUGACUGAAACAUACUUAAUAAAGCCAGCAUUCCUUAGGGUGGAGAAGAUGUCAGAAUGCUAUAAGAAGAAACAUGGAAGGAUCUUCUUUCACUAGUUAAAUAACAUCAGCAGUGGAUGUUUCGGAGCGGAGUGAGAAUAUGGAGACUUUGAGAUGCUAACAUAGCUGCAGUACAUGAAAAUUUUCAAAUAUAAUCUAAAAUACAAAAUAAGGAAAAUUAAUAUAAAUCAUAUGAUACAAUUUAGUAUGUAGGCACUACUACAAUCAAGACAGUUUUCUAAAAACUGGAGCAUUGUGUUUAUGUUUGAGUUUUAGAUUUGGUCUCUUGAAAACUGGUAUUUUUUAAUUAUCCCAUUUCCCAAAUAUAUUUUUUCAAAUACAGAAAUAACUCAUUGCAUUUAAAUUAUCAGUUGCACAUGUUAUUCUCAUUAUUGUCUGUCCAUGAUAAAUGUUGCUGUUAUCUAUGAAAUAGCCAUCUUAAAAGUUAUCAUUGGGAUUUUAAGUCAAAGAUAUAAUUUAUUUUACUAAGUAAGACUAAACAGUUAUGAUUUUAGCAAAAAUGUAGAGGCAUCAGAUUAAUUCUUAUUCAGAUUAGCAUGUUUGCAUUUUAAAACUAAAAUGCACAAUAGGUUUAAAGCCUAAUAGUUAAUAUUACCUUUUACAGUCACUAUUCAUGAUUCUAUUGAGUCUUGGCCGAGAUGAGUGAUGUAUUAUUUCUAUAUCUAAAAAGGGUUUAGAAAUAACCCCUUUUUGCUUCCUGUGUAGGUAAGGAUGGGUUUACAAACACCCAUGAAACUAAAAUGGGCAUUCGGAGAAGCAGAAAAUAAAUGUCUCUAGGCUUAGGAGUAACAUGAACUUGCAAUUCUACCACUUACAUAUCUGACACAAGACUAACUCUGUAGGAAGCAAACUUAUUACAAAUAUUUCCCCAUUCCACACACCUAACUUGGGUAAACUGUUAUUAGGUAAAUUACUUAAUGGAUAAUUUAUUUUAACUAUGAAUACUUCACAAUGUAUUUUAACAAUGUAUGAGUUAAAUCAACAUAUUACCAAUGUGUGUGUUAUUUAAAACACUAGUAGUGAUAGACCUGCCUAUCAACAACCUAUUAACAACUCAAAAACUCUAAAUGAAUGGGACCCAGCACAGGCAAAUUUAAGUUGAGAGAGAAAGCAAACUAUUCCAAUAGUUAGGAAUGGCUUUCAUUUAAAGGCAAGAAGGC
This 1817-nucleotide long non-coding RNA is filed under the name Homo sapiens (human). RNAcentral describes it as "HSALNT0107501". The record is from RNAcentral. Lineage: Eukaryota; Metazoa; Chordata; Mammalia; Primates; Hominidae.